AUACACAGGAGACAGGGAGCCGAUCCCCAACAUAGUUCCGCUGCACAGUUUUUAUUCCAUCAGUGUGAAGUUAGUCAGGUCCUGACCACUCUCAUCCUCGAGCAUAUCAUCACACAGCUGCCCCUGCAACUGCUUCAGUAAAGCAGACUAAGAUCUACAUGGAGCCUCAUCCUGUCUUCAGAUACUCCCCUUUGCAGUUUGUACAGAUUAAACCAUGUCUUGUGAUUCUGGAGAAGAUGAAACUCCCAGUGAACUUGUAAUGGACAGCCCUGAAGACACAUGCAGUAACCACUGAGUCUCAUCCAAGAGAGCAGGGAAGUUCCUGGAAUGUAGGCCAGUCAUUUCAAUCUAACAAAAAACAGGACAGAUGCCACGUCGCUGGUUUACUGCUGUGCAGCUCCUCCAGCUUAUACAAACUGAACAUCAUCACAGGAAGGAACAGACUUCAUAAUAAUACGAAGUUCUAUGCCAUUUAAUUCAAACCACUUUACAAAUACCAUUUAAAAAAUAAAACCUGAGCGACAAAAGCAAAUUAUAGACAGGACUGCCUCACUUCUAGAGAAAUGCAGCUGACAUUACACCACAAUCCAAAGCCAAGAAAAGGACUGGCUAUCAAGCCAGCUUGGAACUACAUUCGACAGCUGAAGUUUAAUAUUUGCAGUUACGAGAACUAUUUCUGAAAAUAUUUCAGGUAUUUUAUAUCAUUUGUUGUAAAUCAUUGAUAUUCUUCUGACCAUAUACACAGAAAAAUCUGCAGUCUCUGAAGAAAGGAAAGCCUCUGAACUUUACAAACGUGGAGACAGAUGAACAAAUCUUUGCAACUACCAUUUCCAUGAGUGUGACGUCCAGUAUGUUGUCAUACACAGCUUAACUUGCUAACUCAAGAAAAGGGAAGCUUUCAGUUGUAAAAACACAAACUAAAAGUCAGAACAGACAUACCUCCGAUUAUUGAAUUAUUUGGUAAACAGUGGGUUGGGUGACAUUUGCCAACUGAAGAGCAACUGGCAUAAAACAGUACUCACAAUUUAAGAGAUUAUGUUUAAGAAACCAGGAGGGUCUUCUGUCACUAUCUACAUCCUGACCAGGCAAUGGUGUGAGCAGACAGGCAGAAAUCAGUUUAUUCACGGACAGCUGUUCUUUAUCAGCUUCAUCUGAAUGCUCACAUAAACAACAUGUAGAAUUAUGAUAGACAUACACAAAGACAAUACCCCAAUAUUUCACUUACAAACUAAAGUUUUGCUGGUUUGAAAUAUAUUAGCAAUAGGUAUAUAUAUUUUAAUACUAACAGUCUACUCUGUGCUGAGACUAACAAAACUUCAGACCUUAUGCAAGGAAACUUAGAGUCAAGGACACACCAAGAACUUCCACACAAAUCUAUGCUUACAGAUCUUACUGCAGAAGCAAGGUUGGAGAUGGCAGUCAAAUCUAAGAAAACAAAGUUAGAUAGGUAUUUAGAGGAAUGGGAAAGAAGACUAAGGCACUUCCUGCACUGUGCAUUCUCUCACAAUCAUUUAACACUAUUGCACAACUGCAGAGUCGCAUCUGCAACCAGAACAAAAACAUUUAGCACUCUCAGCAUGUAUUUCAGUGCAAAAAGCAAUACAAAACCCAGUGCUAUCACCAGUUUAUAUAAUCUAAACACAGUUAAUAUUCCCACAGAGAAACAAAGUCCAAAGAAAUGAAUACAUCAUCUAAAAUCCUUGCGCUGACCCAUAGUCCCCAGCUUAGUGCUGAUCAUUGAAAUGCCUAGUAAAUACGUAGAGUUAACACAUCAGUGCUGAUGAGAGAGUUAAUAACUUCUUAAGUUACAGCGUCACACUGCCUCCAAACUCAGGCAGGCAUUGACAUUACCUGAUGUUUGGUAUUUUUCCCACAGCUCUUUACAGUAUAAAAGCAGGGUUUUGCUUUGAUUAGAUUCUUCCAGAGCACAGUUCCAUAUGAAUGGAUGCAUAUUUUAACUAAAGAUGACAUGGAGUCCCAUCUGCUUUGUUGUAUUUUUCUGUAAAUGCUGAUCCUGCUGAUCUGUUAAGGGACAAACACAAACAUCUUUCUUUACUAAAUGUAGUAACUAUGGAUUACGCCUUCCUAACUUGAUCAGUUAUAGCUCCAUUUCUCUCUUCCAACUGAAAAUUUCCAUAAAGAUGCAGAAAUACUCAGAUACAUAAUUUAAAGAGAAGUCUUAAGAACCAUUAGGUUUAUUUCCAGGCAAAGAUGGCUCCCAGUUGUUUUCCUUGCACAGUCAUCUUUCCCUAGUUAUCUUCAGCAUGCAUAAUAGACACUACUCCUUUCUUUUACUUGAUUCUAUAUGGAUGCACUGAAUCCUUAAAAUGCAUCCAGUCACAAUACAGUAGUUUUGGGGGAAGAAUUUGUCAGAAAAAAUGUCAUCUGUAUUUGCAGUGCUCUAUAAAUGAAGAUAUCACCAAUCCGAUACACUCUAGGUCAACUCUUCUUUUCUUUGGUGGUCACUUUUCAGCAACUGAAAUCACAAGGCAUAAAGUCAAUAGAUAUUUGAGCUAUUUAAAUAGCUCAAAGGAUAAAGGUCAUGCCUCUGAUGCAAUUUAUCUUUACAGGAAGCCACUCAAAUCUUGGAAACCACUACCUUGGAGAUAGCAGAUUCUGGGGGUUGUAUAGAUAAGAGAUCAAUUCUCAGUAAUUUAAAGUUCUCUUAAAUAGUCAGCCCAGACAGGAAGGAUUCCAGUUUAAUUAACUACAGGCUUAAACCUACAAAGGGGCAUUCUGCAUCUCUUGAGACCACUGCACACCUUUUGCAAAGGAAAGCUGGAGGCAUCUUCUGAGAAUAAACAUCAAGACCACUGCUGCUCUGUUUCAAACUUGCCCCCACAGUGCCCAGAUCUCUGCAGAGUGCAGCACCCACCAUUUUUGCUAUGACAGUCAGAAAGUUCUUGAUUCCUUAACAUGGGAACAUCAGCAUGUUGUUACUCCCAGACAUUUCUUUCUUCACUUUUCAAUGUUUUCUCUGUGCUAUCUGUCAUCACCUUGUUUUCUCAUUUUCCUUUUAAUUAAAGAUUAUUAUUCAAAGGAGGAAAUGUAGCACAAUUUGAGAAUUCAUUCAGCAUGUAUAGAGAUGCAUGUGGUCUACU
RNAcentral lists this long non-coding RNA (3101 nucleotides) under Gallus gallus (chicken). RNAcentral's name for it is "lncRNA (ENSGALG00010026456.1)". Lineage: Eukaryota; Metazoa; Chordata; Aves; Galliformes; Phasianidae. The record is from RNAcentral.